Non-coding RNA from Castor canadensis (American beaver), 603 nucleotides. The record is from RefSeq and is a predicted model, not a curated record. Lineage: Eukaryota; Metazoa; Chordata; Mammalia; Rodentia; Castoridae.
UUCUGCUGGGGACUGUGCUUCACCCGGGGUAGGUGAAGGAUCCCAAUAUGGCUGGGCGCAAACUUACUCUAAAAGCCAUUGACUGGAUAGCUUUUGGGGAGAUCAUACCCCGAAACCAAAAGGCUGUUGCUAACUCCCUGAAGUCCUGGAAUGAGACCCUCAGCUCCAGAUUGGCUACAUUACCUGAGAAGCCACCAGCUAUCGACUGGGCAUACUACAAGGCCAAUGUGGCCAAAGCAGGCUUGGUGGAUGACUUUGAAAAGAAGUUUAAUGCCCUGAAGAUUCCUAUGCCAGAGGAUAAAUAUACUGCCCUGGUGGAUGCUGAAGAAAAGGAAGAUGUGAAAAGUUGUGCUGAGUUUGUGUCUCUCUCAAAGGUGAGGGUUACGGAAUAUGAGAAACAGCUGGAGAAAAUGAAGAACAUAAUUCCUUUUGACCAGAUGACCAUUGAGGACUUGAAUGAAGUCUUCCCAGAAACAAAAUUAGACAAGAAGAAGUAUCCCUAUUGGCCUCACCAGCCAAUUGAGAAUUUAUAAAAUUGGGUCGAGGAGGAAGCUCUGCUCCUUACCUUACAAGCUCUGGACAAUAAAAAUAAAAGUAAUGCUA